RNAcentral lists this long non-coding RNA (294 nucleotides) under Cyanistes caeruleus (blue tit). RNAcentral describes it as "lncRNA (ENSCCEG00000009998.1)". The record is from RNAcentral. Lineage: Eukaryota; Metazoa; Chordata; Aves; Passeriformes; Paridae.
GUUGAUCAGGAGCAGGGAUAGAACUGAGCUGCUGUUACCAGGCAGACACUGGAUACUGUAGUUGCAGUCACUGGAGCUGUGGGAUUUCUCCUCGAGCACCACACACUGUAUGGUCACAAGUCCCUGCAGAGUCUGUUAGGGAGCAUCCAUUUACCUGCAAAUACAUGCUGUAAACUGGCCUACAUGAAAUGUGGAUAAUUAACUUGCCAUCACCUUGUUUUCUGUGAAUCCACAGCCACAUUAUCUACUUGGUAUGCUGAAGCUUUAGAGUGAUGUAUGUUCUUCCUUGUGCAG